This 497-nucleotide ribosomal RNA is filed under the name uncultured bacterium. Its description in RNAcentral is "partial 16S ribosomal RNA". It matches the Rfam family "Bacterial small subunit ribosomal RNA", at positions 28 to 507 of the family's 1533-position model. The record is from RNAcentral.
GACGAACGCUGGCGGCGUGCCUAAUACAUGCAAGUUGAGCGCUGAAGGUUGGUACUUGUACCAACUGGAUGAGCAGCGAACGGGUGAGUAACGCGUGGGGAAUCUGCCUUUGAGCGGGGGACAACAUUUGGAAACGAAUGCUAAUACCGCAUAAAAACUUUAAACACAAGUUUUAAGUUUGAAAGAUGCAAUUGCAUCACUCAAAGAUGAUCCCGCGUUGUAUUAGCUAGUUGGUGAGGUAAAGGCUCACCAAGGCGAUGAUACAUAGCCGACCUGAGAGGGUGAUCGGCCACAUUGGGACUGAGACACGGCCCAAACUCCUACGGGAGGCAGCAGUAGGGAAUCUUCGGCAAUGGACAAAAGUCUGACCGAGCAACGCCGCGUGAGUGAAGAAGGUUUUCGGAUCGUAAAACUCUGUUGGUAGAGAAGAACGUUGGUGAGAGUGGAAAGCUCAUCAAGUGACGGUAACUACCCAGAAAGGGACGGCUAACUACGUG